CCUACGGGAGGCAGCAGUGGGGAAUCUUGCGCAAUGGGCGAAAGCCUGACGCAGCAACGCCGCGUGCGGGAAGAAGGCUUUCGGGCUGUAAACCGCUUUCAGCAGGAACGAAAAUGACGGUACCUGCAGAAGAAGGAGCGGCCAACUAUGUGCCAGCAGCCGCGGUGAUACAUAGGCUUCAAGCGUUGUCCGGAUUUAUUGGGCGUAAAGAGUUCGUAGGCGGUCGAGUAAGUCGGGUGUGAAAAUUCUGGGCUCAACCCAGAGACGCCACCCGAUACUGCUUGACUUGAGUUCGAUAGGGGAGUGGGGAAUUCCUAGUGUAGCGGUGAAAUGCGCAGAUAUUAGGAGGAACACCGGUGGCGAAGGCGCCACUCUGGAUCGAUACUGACGCUGAGGAACGAAAGCAUGGGUAGCAAACAGGAUUAGAUACCCUGGUAGUCCAUGCCGUAAACGGUGGGCACUAGGUGUGGGUUUCUAUUAACGAAUUCCGCGCCGUCGCUAACGCAUUAAGUGUCCCGCCUGGGGAGUACGGUCGCAAAGACUAAAACUUAAAUGAAUUGACGG
RNAcentral lists this ribosomal RNA (564 nucleotides) under uncultured bacterium. RNAcentral describes it as "bacterial SSU rRNA". It matches the Rfam family "Bacterial small subunit ribosomal RNA", at positions 338 to 916 of the family's 1533-position model. The record is from RNAcentral.